This 7975-nucleotide long non-coding RNA is filed under the name Lactuca sativa (garden lettuce). Its description in RNAcentral is "long non-coding RNA (LSAT_LNC010206)". Lineage: Eukaryota; Viridiplantae; Streptophyta; Magnoliopsida; Asterales; Asteraceae. The record is from RNAcentral.
UAUCUUCAACCUACUCGCCGAGUAGGUUCAUGCACUCGACGAGUAGGGUCGACAGAGUGCAGUUUUUCGACUUUAGUUGCUGGAAAUGGAUUAGAAACAUUACCCUAAACUGUUUUGGUACUUGAAAACUUGUUUUAGAAGGUGUAAUGUCUUUUCUAACUCAUUUACAACAACUAGUUAUCAAAAUUACAAAGAUUAAGUGUGAUUUUGAUAUAUGAAAGUGUUCAUGUUCAUGAUCUUGUUCUUAUGAUGUUUAGAUGAUCAUAGGAAUUAUUUGUAACCUAUGUGGUAGUUUAAUUCUUGAUCAUAAUGUUUUUUAAUGGAGUCCAUAACUUGUCCUCAAGUUAUGGAAAACCAAAAGUCUCUUGGAUUAAAAACCAUUAAAAGAACACAAGAGUUAGAAAAAAUGAAAAGUCCUCAUUUUAUUACUCUAUUAAACUCAUAAGUUACAAGAUAUGAAAAGUUUUGAAAGUUUACAAAACUUGCCCUCAAGUUUUGGAACAAGUAAAGUUAAGUUAAAACUUUAGUUCCAACCCUUAGAAUUUUAAAAGUUAAAAUUCAACCCUUAUACUUAUAUUAUUAUGAUUUAAUAAUUAUAUAUAUAUGUAUAAGAACAAAGUCGUCUUACCGCUAGUACGCCUCAUUCACGAAGCCGGUCUAUAAGGUGGGUAUAAGGUUGUUGCCUAUAAAAUGGUGACUUAAUGGGUGUCCACUCUCACCCACCGCUUGCUUGAUCGGUGGAGGGUCGUUAGCCGAACGGGUAAGACAAGGACUUAUUAAUUCUCAUUCAAAGUAUGAUGAAUAUUAUAAAGUAACUAAAUGUUUUAUUAAAUUCCCAAUCUUAGUUACUUUAGGAAAAAUGUGAAUAAGGUGCUAUUCCAUGAAAUUACACUUUACACUUUGAUUAAGUCGUUGGUGGAGCGUGUGUGGUUAACCGGCACACUAACUUGGACUUAACAAGGUAGGUAAAGGGUGACUUAGGGUUUAUUAUAGUAUCGAUGGAGCGUGUGUGGUUAACCGGCACAUCGAUUGAGUGAUAAACUUUAAGGGUACCAAGUGAUUUGCAUGGUUACUUCACACCUCGUUUUGUGAUCCUCGGUAUCCCAGUCACAAAACUUGGAGGGCACACUCGAGAUUGAAACAUGCCUUUGAAAAGUUCAUUGAAUCUCAAAGAAUCUAGGAAUUUCUAAGAACCAUUCAAAAACCUAAUACUAAAAUAUUGCGGUUUUCGUGGUGGAAAUUGGUGAAUCGUCAUUCACCUACCUUUCAAAUAUGAUAUAGCUUAGAUUACGGCAUACCUCUUCUAAGUUAUAUUAUAUUGUGAUUGGAUCCUAGCCUUAAUAUUACAUUUGGGUGUUUUAUUAAGGACUCUCUUAUAUCUAAACUAAUCUUGUCCUCUUUCCUUCAGAUGUCUUUCAACAAUGCUUCUGGCUCUAAUCCUAAUGGCUCCUUUACCCUUAUGAACUUGUGUGGGAAAGUCACCUUUGAUGGAUCCAACUUCAAUGAGUGGAUCAGAAACAUCAGGAUGAUUACCCGCUACGAGGACAAAGAAUAUGUCCUUGACAAGGAGCUUAAGGAGAUUGAUGAGUCCACUGCAACUCCUCAGGAGAUCGCUGAAUUUCGGGCACAUGAAAGGGAUGCUACGAAAGUGGCUUGCAUCAUGAUGGCCACGAUGACAGCGGAACUCCAAAAGUCUUAUGAGGAUUUCUACCCUUAUGAAAUGCACCAAGAUUUGAUGGAAAGAUACCAUCAAAGUGCAAGACAAGAGAGGUAUGAAAUCAUCUGCUCCAUGAUAACAACCAUGAUGAAGGACGGGGAAUCCGUCACGAGCCACAUGCAGAAAAUGCAAAGGUAUGUGGAUCGUUUGCUGAAGCUUAAUGUGAACUUCCCGGAGGAUCUUGCAAUAGAUAUUAUUUUGCAUUCCUUACCAUCGUGCUAUGAUCAAUUCCGCAUGACAUAUCACAUGAACAAGGAAGAAGUCACCCUCAGCAAACUUCAGGGACUUCUCAAGACCGCAGAAUCAGGUCUUAAGGGGAAGUCGGUUGCUAUCACUCCUACUCAAAACUCUACUCCGGUUUUGGCAAUCGGGAAAAGUCGAGGGAGGAAGAGAAAGAGCUCUUCUAAGGGUACCAAGGUUCGGACCCUUGAUGGCUCUUCUUCAAGUGGAACCAAGAAAGGUUUCAUUACUCCUUCUUCUGACCCAAAAGAGGCUGAAUGCUUCUAUUGCCAUGAAAAAGCUCAUUGGAAGCGGAACUGCCCAAAAUACCAGCAAGAUGUGAAGGAUGGGAAAGUUAAACCCAACCAUGCAGGUAUUUACACUAUCAUUUCUAAUAACUCACCCCAUUCUAAUUCUUGGGUCCUUGAUACCGGGUGUGGUAUUCACAUUUGUUGUGACUUGCAGGGACUAAGAAGAAGUGAGGAUGUGGAGCAAGGAAGGAUAAACUUGAUCAUGGGGAAUAGGAAAGCUAUACCUGUUACCAAGAUUGGAGUUUAUACUUUAUCGCUAAGUAGUGGGUUUAGUUUAGAUUUGAAUAAGUGUUGUUAUUCGCCAGGAAUGGCAAGAAAUAUUAUUUCCUUUCAUGCUUUGUACAAACAAGGGUUUACCUUUUCAUUUAAUAAUGAAGUUGGUUCUAUAGAUGUUUUCUAUAAUAAUGUCUUUUAUUUUAAAGCAUUACCUUGUGAUGGUGUGUAUGAAGCUGUAUCUGUUGUAGAUAACUUGGGAAAUAAUGUUUUGUGUAUUGAUUCUACUAAUAAUAACUUGGAUAAAGCAUCUUUAUGGCAUUGUCGUCUUGGACAUAUAAGCAAGAAACGCAUAGGCCAACUCCAAAAGGAUGGAGUCUUGGAGUCGUUUGACCUAAAGUCAGAUGAUAGUUGCGAAUCAUGCUUACUUGGAAAAAUGACAAAGUCACCCUUCACAGGUUCGUGUGAGAGGGGUGAAGGUUUGUUGGACCUUAUACACACGGAUGUGUGUGGACCAUUCAAACAUGCCACAAGGGAUGCUAAUCGUUAUUAUUUGACUUUUACUGAUGAUUAUAGUAGAUAUGGAUAUGUCUACUUGAUCAAGCAUAAGUCAGAGACUUUCGAGAGGUUUAAGGAAUUUAAACAGGAAGUCGAGAAUCAAUUGGGCAGGAACAUUAAGAUGCUUCGAUCCGAUCGUGGUGGUGAGUAUCUUAGUUCAGAGUUCCUCGACUAUCUAAGGGAAUGUGGGAUAGUCUCACAAUUGACACCUCCCAGGACACCACAGUUGAAUGGUGUGGCUGAGAGGCGUAAUCGAACCUUGUUAGAUAUGGUUCGUUCCAUGAUGAGUCGAGCUACGCUACCAAUCUCAUUCUGGGGGUAUGCCUUAGAGACUGCCGCCCAUAUUCUUAAUCUAGUCCCUACAAAGAAAGUUGCCAAAACUCCUCACGAGAUGUGGACUGGUAAAGUACCUAAACUAGACCACAUCAAGAUUUGGGGUUGCGAGGCUUUCGUGAGACGCGAGACUCAUGAUAAGCUCGAACCUCGAAGCGAGAGGUGUAUUUUCAUCGGUUACCCACAGCGAUCCUUUGGUUACCUCUUCUACAGACCUAGUGACAAUGUGGUCUUUGUAGCAAGAAGAGGAGUCUUUCGAGAAAGAGAGUUUAUAAGCCAAGGAGACAGUGGGAGGCAAAUUGAUCUUGAAGAAAUUCAAGAAUCAAGCGGUGAAGGAACUUCAAACUCUAGCCCUCAACUUGAGGAGGAAACUCCUGUUGAGCCAAUUGACAAAUCUGUACCUCUGAGACGUUCCACGAGAGUUAGGAGUGCACCUGAGCAUUACUAUGGAUUCCAUAUUACUGCAGAAGGUGAGACACUUAUUAGUGAUGAGACACUAGUAAGUCAAGAUGACCCUAACAGCUACGAGGAAGCCAUGGCAGGCCCCGAGUCUGCUAAAUGGAAAGAGGCUAUGGAUAGCGAGAUACAAUCCAUGUAUGACAAUCAAGUUUGGAACUUGGUUGAAAAUGUACCAGGUCGUAAGACAGUAGGGUGCAAAUGGGUCUUCAAGAAGAAGACCGACAUGGAUGGUAAAGUACACACUUAUAAGGCUAGACUGGUUGCAAAGGGCUUCUCUCAAAUUCCUGGAGUGGAUUAUGAUGAGACCUUUUCUCCGGUAGCCAAGAUUAAGUCUAUUCGGGUUCUGUUAGCCAUAGCUGCAUUUCAUGACUAUGAAAUAUGGCAGAUGGAUGUCAAAACCGCUUUCCUUAAUGGAAAGUUGGCUGAAGAUGUUUACAUGAGUCAGCCAGAGGGUUUUGUCAGCAACGAGUACCCUAAUAGAGUGUGUAAGCUUGAGAAAUCCAUUUAUGGAUUGAAGCAAGCACCUCGCAGAUGGAAUCUUUGCUUUGAUGAAAAGGUCAAGGAAUUUGGCUUUUCUAGGAGUGAAGAUGAAUCUUGUGUGUAUGUCAAGGCUAGUGGGAGUAUAGUUAGCUUUUUGGUAUUGUAUGUGGAUGACAUACUACUCAUAGGAAACGACAUUCCAACCCUGCAGGAAGUAAAGUCCUGGCUUGGGAAGUGUUUCGCUAUGAAGGACCUUGGUGAAGCUGCCUAUAUUCUAGGGAUAAGAAUCUUGAGAGAUCGGAGUAAAAGACUAAUUGGACUUAGUCAGAGUACCUACUUGGAUAAGGUGCUGAAGAGAUUCAGCAUGCAGGAUUCCAAGAAAGGAGAGUUACCCAUCCAGAGUAACACCAGAUUGAGUAAGACACAAAGCCCUAGCACUGAGGCUGAGAUAGCAGAAAUGAGUCGAACACCUUACGCUUCGGCUGUAGGAUCGAUCAUGUAUGCUAUGACGUGUACUCGACCCGAUGUAGCUUUUGCCUUGAGCAUGGUUAGCAGGUAUCAGGCGAACCCUGGCAAGGCACACUGGACUGCGGUAAAGAAUAUCCUCAAGUACCUACGGAGGACUAAGGACUGGGUCCUUACCCUCGGUGGGAGUGAUGACUUGAGAGUUGUAGGGUAUAGUGAUGCUAGCUUCCAGACUGAUAGGGAUAAUUUCCGCUCUCAGUCGGGCUGGGUCUUUACCCUAAACGGAGGAGCAAUUUCUUGGAAGAGUUCCAAGCAAGAGACAGUGGCAGAUUCUACUUGUGAAUCAGAGUAUAUUGCAGCUAGCGAAGCAGCAAAGGAGGCGAUAUGGCUGAAGAACUUCAUUGGAGACCUUGGAGUUGUACCAGCUAUUAAAGAGCCAAUGGAAAUUUUCUGUGAUAGUGAAAGUGCUGUUGCCUUAGCCAAGGAACCAAGGGAUCAUGGGAGAUCCAGACACAUCGACAGAAAAUACCAUUUCAUUAGACAUCGGAUCGAAGAAGGACUCCUCGUGGCAAAGAGGGUAUCAUCGGAUGAGAACCCAGCAGAUCCCCUCACGAAGGGACUGAGUAGGGUUAAGCAUCUCCAGCAUGCUCGGAGCAUAGGGCUGAAGGAUGAUAUAAGUUUUAGUAGUUAGAUAACCCAGAAAUUUGUAAAGUGUAAUUGACAUUUGAUGAUGAAUAAAAGGUGUUUUAUUUAUGAGUAAAGUGUUGCUAUCUCUUGUCAAUCGUUUACUAUAUUUCUUUUGCAUGUUUUGACUUCCAGAAUAAUUUUGUUUGGUGUAACAUAUUAUUCAAACCUCCACAGUCGGUCAUAUGUCGGAAGUAGGUAUGAAUCAAGACUGUCAUGAUGGGUUGUAGAGGUCUAAGGUGUUGGACAAGGCUACAACAAUCAUGAGUGCUCAUAAGUUCUGAGCAUUGGACUCAACCCACGCUCACUGGAAUCACUUCAUGGAAUUCUAUCUCGAGUGAUCGUGAGACGGUAAUAUCAUAUAAGUCUUCAAACCUAGAGAUAUGAUUUGUUACUUACAAGUUGGUUAUGCAUUGACUGUACGAAACCGCAUUGGUAACUCGAUGUUAUAAAACGUACUUUUGUGUGUAAUUCAAUGAGUGGUAGAACAAACAUAUGAGUCGAAGUUUAUCUGUUCCUUCUUGGAUUAGAAGCUGAUAUCUGGGCCCCUCGAUGAUUUUGUUUUGACCCAUGUACCGGGCCCGGUCAGAACUAAGUUGAUGUGUUCAAUUAAGUUCUAUGUCAAACAAAUCGGAAAUCGGGAAACAAAUGCUGGACAAUAAGCAAGACAAUGUUCCAUGUAUUUGUCCGGCUGAUAUCUAGAACGGAGGAUUAUAUGAUCACUUAUCUUAAAUGGCGUACCAUCAUCUUCUCAGUUCCGAGAGACCUUGAAAGAGCUACGAUUGCCGGUCGGUUCCUGAAGUACUAGAGAUAUAGUUAUUAGACUUAUCCAAGUGGGAGACUGUUGGAUAAGGUGUCUAAGUCCAUAACUAUUUCGGGCUUGUACUUGACCCGACCCGGCAUGGUCCAUUUGGGUUGCAUGGCACCAUGCAAUUGGAUAGACUAAAUGAGAGAAAUAACACUUGGAGAUUAUUAAUAUAUUAUAAGUUCUAAUAUAUUAAUAAUAUUAUUUGAUUAGUUGAUCAAAGAAUUAAUUUGGAAUUAAUUAAGUGAUCAAAGGAUAACUAAUUAAAUAUAUGGGUUGAUUAUGUAAAUCAUCCAUAUCUUGUAUAGUGGGCUAAGAGGCUCCAUGGAUUAUCAAGUUGGGUUCUACCCAUAGGAUGCUCCAUGGAUGCUCCAUGGGAGUUACAAACCCAUGGGUCAUGGAAAUGAAGAGUCAUGACACAUUAGGGUUUACAUGGUGUAACCCUAGAUGUGUCAACACUAUAUAAGAAUCAUAUUCUCCACCAAAAUCGGCUACACUAAGAAACUAGAGGGCUUGGCCGAUUUUGAGAAGUGUGUGUUAUCUCAAGAGUCUUUCCAAGAGCAUUUGGUGUUGUGUGAAGCAUUUGAGGCAUCACACUUGGGGUGCUAGGCUCACAAGGUUUCAAGGAACACAAGCAACAACAAGGUAAGUUAUUCUAUCUAUGAUUCAAGUUAAAAUUGUUCCCCAUGUAUGCUAGAUAGGAAUAUAACCUUGGAAUUCAACUUUGCAUGAUAAUUAGACAAACAUAGAUCCAAGGUUAUUAGGGUUGCAUGUACACUUAGGAAGUGUUAGAAUGCUCAAAACCCAUCAGUGGUAUCAGAGCCUAGGCUUGUUUGUUUGUUAUUUGUGCUUAAAAGUUGAAGAAAGUCGAAAAUCUUGCUGUCUGACUGAUGGACUCGGCGAGUCCAUGGGGAGGACUCGUCGAGUUCAUGUGUAUCUUCAACCUACUCGGCGAGUAGGUUUAUGCACUCGGCGAGUAGGGUCGACAGAGUGCAGAAUUUCGACUUGAGUUGCUGGAAAUGGAUUAGAAUCAUUACCCUAAAAUGUUUUGGUACUUGAAAACUUAUUUUAGAAGGUGUAAUGUCUUUUCUAACUCAUUUACAACAACUAGUUAUCAAAAUUACAAAGAUUAAAUGUGAUUUUGAUUCUUGAAAGUGUUCAUAUUCAUAUUCUUGUUCUUAUGAUGUUUAGAUGAUCAUAGGAAUUAUUUGUAACCUAUGUGGUAGAUUAAUUCAUGAUCAUAAUGUGUUUUAAUGGAGUCCAUAACUUGUCCUCAAGUUAUGGAAAACCAAAAGUCUCUUGGAUUAAAAACCAUUAAAAGAACACAAGAGUUAGGAAAAAUGAAAAGUCCUCAUUUUAUUACUCUAUUAAACUCAUAAGUUACAAGAAAUGAAAAGUUUUGAAAGUUUACAAAACUUGCCCUCAAGUUUUGGAACAAGUAAAGUUAAGUUAAAACUUUAGUUCCAACCCCUAGAAUUUUAAAAGUUAAAAUUCAACCCUUAUACUUAUAUUAUUAUGAUUUAAUAAUUAUAUAUAUAUGUAUAAGAACAAAGUCGUCUUACCGCUAGUACGCCUCAUUCACGAAGCCGGUCUAUAAGGUGGGUAUAAGGUUGUUGCCUAUAAAAUGGUGACUUAAUGGGUGUCCACUCUCACCCACCGCUUGCUUGAUCGGUGGAGGGUCGUUAGCCGAACGGGUAAGACAAGGACUUAUUAAUUCUCAUUCAAAGUAUG